Molecule: ribosomal RNA, 464 nt
Filed under: uncultured bacterium
Lineage: Bacteria
Description: partial 16S ribosomal RNA
Rfam family: Bacterial small subunit ribosomal RNA
Source: RNAcentral
ACGAACGCUGGCGGCGUGCUUAACCCCUGCAAGUCGCACGGAAAGGCCCUGCUUGCAGGGUACUCGAGUGGCGAACGGGUGAGUAACACGUGGGUGAUCUGCCCUGCACUUCGGGAUAAGCCUGGGAAACUGGGUCUAAUACCGGAUAGGAGCCAUUUUUAGUGUGAUGGUUGGAAAGUUUUUUCGGUGUAGGAUGAGCUCGCGGCCUAUCAGCUUGUUGGUGGGGUAAUGGCCUACCAAGGCGGCGACGGGUAGCCGGCCUGAGAGGGUGGACGGCCACAUUGGGACUGAGAUACGGCCCAGACUCCUACGGGAGGCAGCAGUGGGGAAUAUUGCACAAUGGGCGCAAGCCUGAUGCAGCGACGCCGCGGGGGGGAUGACGGCCUUCGGGUUGUAAACUCCUUUCGCUAGGGACGAAGCUUUUUGUGACGGUACCUAGAUAAGAAGCACCGGCUAACUACGUG